This 434-nucleotide small RNA is filed under the name Pongo abelii (Sumatran orangutan). RNAcentral's name for it is "processed transcript". Lineage: Eukaryota; Metazoa; Chordata; Mammalia; Primates; Hominidae. The record is from RNAcentral.
GGAAAAUUAGUCUGUACAUGGGAACACAGAGACUUAAUAUCACGUCCAAAUUUAUCUGUGAUUUAUGCACAUGUACGAGACCAAACAUGUGUGUCUACAUACCUACCCAGGAAGACGCCACCUCCAGUAAAUAUACCUAUUGCAAUCACAUCAUAUUAUGCAGGUGAAGACAGAGAUGAAACAUUUGUACAAGAUGGUUCCAUGUGUGGUCCUGAUAUGUAUUGUUUCAAAAUGCGUUGUAAAGAUGUUAGAUUCCUGAUGAAUUUAAGAUUGUGUGAUGCUUCUAAUCAUUGUGGUGGUCAUGGAGUUUGCAACAAUUUUAACCAUUGCCAUUGUGAAAAGGGAUAUAAUCCUCCUUACUGCCAACCAAAGCAAGGAGCAUUUGGAAGUACUGAUGAUGGACACUUAGUACCACCAACUGCACCGGUCUCUAA